Triticum aestivum (bread wheat) is the source of this 653-nucleotide RNA transcript. It is a transcript of the gene named protein transport protein Sec61 subunit beta, with no coding region annotated. The transcript is spliced from 2 exons. NCBI's taxonomy places the organism in Eukaryota, Viridiplantae, Streptophyta, Magnoliopsida, Poales, Poaceae. The record is from RefSeq and is a predicted model, not a curated record.
UUGAUGAAUGGGGAGGCGCAUGGUCCAAUCAGAUUGCGCGGGCCACGUCACGCACCCCGAGCGGACUAUGGGCUCGACCCGACCCGAAAAGCGGCUAGCCCGUGCAUAGAUAUAAGGGGCACGCACAUCACGGAGAGCAUUCCGCGGUCGAAUUUCACGCACCAGGUUUGGAUUUGGAAGCCAGACGGACAAGAGGAGAGGAGGAUCAGCGAGUGCGAGGCCGAGUUCAUCAGGUAAGACAAGAUGGUGGCUAAUGGUGACGCACCUGCAAGAGGGAGUGCAGCUGCAGCUGCAAGCCUGCGCCGACGUAGAACCACCGGUGGUGGUGCUGCUGCUGGAGGUGGUGGUGGUGGUGCCAGUACAAUGCUUCAGUUCUACACCGAUGAGGCUGCUGGGCGCAAGAUGUCCCCAAAUGCUGUUCUGAUCAUGAGCAUAGGGUUUAUUGCCGUCGUUGCCGUACUCCAUGUUUUCGGCAAGCUGUACCGCACCCCUAAUUAGCUUCCAUAUAUGAAAACUGAGUUUAUGUGUCUAUGAAUAGCGAAGUCGUAGACUUUGCAUAGCAAAUGACUGUCGGGCCCUGGAAAGAUUUACCUUGUACUCCUAUAAUACUGAGAUGUUAUUGUCGAACCUUUGCAAGGUGUUUUGUCUUGUCA